UAACCCCCUCAGUAUGGUGACAAUUAUAAAACCUAAAGACCUCUCUCUCUCUUUAUUUAACGAAAUGUCAUUUUUAUUAAAGUUUUUAUUAUUAUACUAUAUCUGUGCAAACUAACGCUUUAAACUAAACGUCUACCUUUUUUAAACCUUCCUUAGAAUAUUUGAAUAGCCUAGUUAUAUCUUGCUCAGCUCCACAGAAGAUGCGGUAGGGGGAUGUUAACUUGCAAUGGCAACAACAAGAAGAUACAGAACAUGACAGAAAGUCUUAAAUCUCAACAGAACAGAAGGAACGCUUUGCAUGGAUUUACAUCUGCUACAUUACGCUUAAACUGGGAAACUUUUUUUCAGUGAUGGCAAAACUAAUACAUAACAAUUAUGUCAAUCUAUUUUUAAGUAUUUGAUUAAAUAGUCCAAGUAAAGAAUCAAAUAAAGACAAUUGUUUUGACAGGGUGGGGUGUAACUCGUUUGACAAAACGUUAAAGAAUGGCAAACCUUGCUGCUGUGGCUUGUGCAGUGCACCAGGAGGCGGGGAAUUUCUUAGAAGAAUAAUUUGCAGACCCUGUACCUUUAAACUCCAGAGAUGACAAUUUGGGUGUGUCUGAUGAUGAGACAAGGUUUCGGCUCAACAAAUUUUAAUUCUUUGUCAGGAGCUAGAUGGGGAAUUAAAGAGCCAAAUCUCACGAUUAUGCAGUGCCCAUUCUUGUAAAAAUGACCAGUGCCCUUGGAUGUGCCAUGAUGUUGUAUGGAUUUUGUAGAUAUGUGAAGUUCUCCGAAUCCAAUAAUUGUUUCAGAUGGAAUUGUACAAAAUACAGACUUUCUUGCUUGUGAUAAAACACCAGCAGAAUAGCCACCACCACUGCCAACACCUUCUCUAUGCGAUGUACUGAUUUCUUUAACCUCAUGUCUUUCAUCCUGUAAUGUCUUUUAACAAUCGAAGAUGCUUCGUUGUACAACCAAGACAGCAUUGACAUAUUCUGUUACAGUACCCAAGUUUUUUUUUCUCUGUGUUAUUAAUUCACUUUUUCCUCCAAACAAUUUUCUUCUUCUCUAAGACUAUUAACAGGGCUCCAGACAAACUUUUUGGUCGCCAAAUCCAAUUGUUGGGUGCCACUUUAAGAGCAAGUUGGUUGCUCCAUAUUUAUCUGCUUCAUCAUCAUCACCCCCUGACCAAACCUGAGGGUGCUACCAACUGCCAGAAGUGCUGGCAGAUGGUGGUUUCCCAAGUUGAGUGUGCUACGGGCCAUGCACGGAGGACCUGGUCCAGGUUGCCGGACUGUGUUUGGAACUAGGGGGCUGGUGAGACAUUCAGCCCCAGGUGGGGGCAAUGUAGUGAGUCAGACGAUGCCCUCACUGAAGCGUUGUCUAGUGGUCAAACCGGGGGCACAGCAGCGUGCUCUAGACUGUUGGGGAAUUCUUAUUGUUAGUUGAAUUCUGUUUGCUCUCCCUUGUUUCUAUGUGUUCUCAAUGUCUGUCUGUGUCAGUGUUUGGUGGCUGUUUGUGUUUGCUUCUAUGUAGUUCAUAGAAGGUUGUGUUCUCUGGUCUGUGUAGUGGGGUGAGCCCCCUCAACCCACUGUGUUCAAGCCUUUGCUCUCCUUUUUGUUGCUGUUUCCUGUUAGCAACAUUGCACUUUAGGAGCAGAGCCCUUCCUCAGAGGCUCUGGUUCUGAAUGGGGGUGUUGUCUAACAAAAGAGCACAUUUUUCCUAAGAGCAAUUCCAUUGAUCCUUGGCUUCACUAUUGACCCAGCAGGUGCUGACUUUUUAAAGAUUGCUACAAUAGUAACAUGGUUAAGUUAAAAACAAAAGAUUCCAUUUAUCCUUUAAAGAACAAGAUGUUAAAAAUGUAAAUCAUUUUAUCGUAAAUCACUUUUCUGGGUAUUUUAAAACACAAGGACUAAAAUAAAUCUUCCUAGUUCAAGGACUGUAACAUACAUGUAUCAGGUGAUGUAUCCUGUUCUAACAGUCAUUCUAGGUUUACUUUGAUUUGUGUCCAAUAGAAAUUGUGUAAGGAUUAUGCAUAAAAGGAAUUAUUAAAUGUUCUCUACAAGGAUUUGCAUGUUUGGAUUGGUAAAACUGUGCACUGGAGCAGUGUGGUUUCAGAAGACUGCAAGCCUGCCUGGAUACUCUGAAAAUGAGAAAGAUCCAAUUUUAGAUAGAUGUAUAGCAAUCUGUCAGUCUGUAUGAAUUCAGACUCAUUCCCUCCUAAAAUCCCAUUAGCUUUCUGUAUCACAAACAAACAGACACUAAAGGCUGCAUGUCAGUAUUUUUUUUAUUUAUUUUUUUCCUUGAACAAUCCAUCUAACAGCGCAUUCUAAAUUCUACCAGUGUACUCAUUUGCAUCUGAGAGGCAUGUGGAAGAGAAAGCAAAUAUUGAAUACUUUAUUUAUGCUUGGGAGUGCUGUUCAUACUUGUGCAUACUUUUUGAUUCUUUGUCAAUAUUUUGCAGCUAAUGCAUUCUAAGAAUUAAAAACCUCUGGCAUCAA
Long non-coding RNA from Acipenser ruthenus (sterlet), 2480 nucleotides. RefSeq lists it as uncharacterized. The record is from RefSeq and is a predicted model, not a curated record. The transcript has 2 exons. Lineage: Eukaryota; Metazoa; Chordata; Actinopteri; Acipenseriformes; Acipenseridae.